UGAGGAACAUGACCUUCGGCGGGGGAUAGCCGGCCCAACGGCCGGGUAAUACCGCGUACGACCACAUGGGGACAUCCCUGAGUGGUGAAAGCAGCAAUGCGCCGAUGGAGUGCCUCGCGGCCUAUCAGCUAGUUGGUGAGGUAACGCUCACCAAGGCGACGACGGGUAGCUGGCCUGAGAGGGUNAUCGGCCANAUUGGAACUGAGACACGGUCCAGCUCCGUAGGGAG
RNAcentral lists this ribosomal RNA (229 nucleotides) under uncultured bacterium. RNAcentral's name for it is "partial 16S ribosomal RNA". It matches the Rfam family "Bacterial small subunit ribosomal RNA", at positions 118 to 347 of the family's 1533-position model. The record is from RNAcentral.